AUGCAAGGAGGUAUGGAGCAAGACACUCCAACAACAACAUCACCUACUAAACCAACCACAAACCUUCCUCCUAUUGGUCGGAAUAAAAAAAGAGCUAAUGUAAAUGCUAUUAGAAAAAGGUAUGAGGUAUGGGACCGCUUUAACCCUAUUUCUAAUAUUGAUCCCGCCACUUCGGCAUAUAAGAAACUGUUUAUUACAGUUGAAAGAGAUGGAUUCAAGUACUUUUGUAACCAAAUACAACCUCAAUUUACUAUACCAUCAAAGAGAACUAUAGCUAGGGAUUGUUUUUAG
This is a non-coding RNA of Vicia faba (fava bean), 291 nucleotides long. The record is from the annotation of a GenBank genome assembly. Lineage: Eukaryota; Viridiplantae; Streptophyta; Magnoliopsida; Fabales; Fabaceae.